Molecule: long non-coding RNA, 312 nt
Filed under: Panicum hallii
Lineage: Eukaryota; Viridiplantae; Streptophyta; Magnoliopsida; Poales; Poaceae
Description: long non-coding RNA (PHAL_LNC000589)
Source: RNAcentral
CAUGGAAGUAGCAGAUGAUGCAGAGGAGUCAGAGCGAGAAGCGCAGGCACCGACAGUGACGUGGUUGAAAGGCACGGGCCGCGGCAUGAAUGAUUCUCCUCUGCAGGCCAAGCUUUGUUCUCGACGACGAGCUUUACCUAACCUAGGAGCUUCAAGGUGCUGAUGGGAAGAUCAAAGGAAACUGGACUGGCAAUGGCCCCCCUUUUUCCUAUGUGCUGUGUUCUGUUCUGCCGGCAAGUUCAGAUGAAACUGCAGACGGGGGCUAGCUCCAGGUCUUUGCACUUUCUGGAGUAGUUUCCAAAUCAAAUAAAG